GGAUAACUUACCCUUUAGGACUGGGAUAACUCUGGGAAACUGGGGAUAAUACUGGAUAUUAGGUGGUGCCUGCAAUGGUUUACCUUUGAAAUGUUUUUUGUAUUCGCCUAAGGAUAGAUCUGCGGCUGAUUAGGUCGUUGGUGGGGUAAUGGCCCACCAAGCCGAUGAUCGGUACGGGUUGUGAGAGCAAGGGCCCGGAGAUGGAACCUGAGACAAGGUUCCAGACCCUACGGGGUGCAGCAGGCGCGAAACCUCCGCAAUGUACGUAAGUGCGACGGGGGGAUCCCAAGUGUUAUGCUUAAUAGUAUAACUUUUCAUUAGUGUAAAAAGCUUUUAGAAUAAGAGCUGGGCAAGACCGGUGCCAGCCGCCGCGGUAAUACCGGCAGCUCGAGUGGUAGCUGUUUUUAUUGGGCCUAAAGCGUUCGUAGCCGGUUUGAUAAGUCUUUGGUGAAAGCUUGUAGCUUAACUAUAAGAAUUGCUGGAGAUACUAUCAGACUUGAAGUCGGGAGAGGUUAGAGGUACUACCGGGGUAGGGGUGAAAUCCUAUAAUCCUGGGAGGACCACCUGUGGCGAAGGCGUCUAACUAGAACGAUCUUGACGGUGAGUAACGAAAGCCAGGGGCGCGAACCGGAUUAGAUACCCGGGUAGUCCUGGCCGUAAACGAUGUGGACUUGGUGUUGGAAUGGCUUUGAGUUGUUCCAGUGCCGAAGGGAAGCUGUUAAGUCCACCGCCUGGGAAGUACGGUCGCAAGACUGAAACUUAA
Molecule: ribosomal RNA, 763 nt
Filed under: uncultured archaeon
Lineage: Archaea
Description: bacterial SSU rRNA
Rfam family: Archaeal small subunit ribosomal RNA
Source: RNAcentral